This 465-nucleotide ribosomal RNA is filed under the name uncultured bacterium. Its description in RNAcentral is "partial 16S ribosomal RNA". It matches the Rfam family "Bacterial small subunit ribosomal RNA", at positions 28 to 507 of the family's 1533-position model. The record is from RNAcentral.
GACGAACGCUGGCGGCGUGCUUAACACAUGCAAGUCGAACGGAAAGGCCCCUUUGGGGGUACUCGAGUGGCGAACGGGUGAGUAACACGUGCGUAACCUGCCCUUGACUUCGGGAUAACUUCAGGAAACUGGGGCUAAUACCGGAUAGGAAUCCUUGCUGCAUGGUGGGGGUUGGAAAGCUUCGGCGGUUUUGGAUGGACUCGCGGCUUAUCAGCGUGUUGGUGGGGUAGUGGCUUACCAAGGCUUUGACGGGUAGCCGGCCUGAGAGGGCGACCGGCCACAGUGGGACUGAGAUACGGCCCAGACUCAUACGGGAGGCAGCAGUGGGGAAUAUUGCACAAUGGGCGGAAGCCUGAUGCAGCAACGCCGCGGGCGGGAUGACGGUCUUCGGGUUGUAAACCGCUUUCAGCAGGGGCGGAGCUUGUGGUGACGGUACCUGCAGAAGAAGCACCGGCUAACUACGUG